AGAACGAACGCUGGCGGCAGGCCUAAAACAUGCAAGUCGAGCGCCCAGCAAUGGGAGCGGCGGACGGGUGAGUAACACGUGGGAACGUACCUUUCGGUUCGGAACAACUCAGGGAAACUUGAGCUAAUGCCGAAUUCGCCCUAACGGGGAAAGAUUUAUCGCCGAAAGAUCGGCCCGCGUAAGAUUAGCUAGUUGGUGAGGUAACGGCCCACCAAGGCGACGAUCUUUAGCUGGUUUGAGAGAACGACCAGCCACACUGGGACUGAGACACGGCCCAGACUCCUACGGGAGGCAGCAGUUAGGAAUCUUGGACAAUGGGGGAAACCCUGAUCCAGCCAUGCCGCGUGAGUGAUGAAGGCCUUCGGGUUGUAAAACUCUUUCGACGGGGACGAUAAUGACUGUACCCGUAGAAGAAGCUCCGGCUAACUUCGCGCCAGCAGCCGC
RNAcentral lists this ribosomal RNA (444 nucleotides) under uncultured bacterium. RNAcentral describes it as "SSU rRNA". It matches the Rfam family "Bacterial small subunit ribosomal RNA", at positions 26 to 518 of the family's 1533-position model. The record is from RNAcentral.